This 424-nucleotide ribosomal RNA is filed under the name Verrucomicrobiota bacterium. RNAcentral's name for it is "Verrucomicrobia bacterium partial 16S ribosomal RNA". It matches the Rfam family "Bacterial small subunit ribosomal RNA", at positions 355 to 776 of the family's 1533-position model. Lineage: Bacteria; Pseudomonadati; Verrucomicrobiota. The record is from RNAcentral.
UGAGGAAUAUUGGUCAAUGGACGCAAGUCUGAACCAGCCAAGUAGCGUGCAGGAUGACGGCCCUAUGGGUUGUAAACUGCUUUUAUAUGGGGAUAAGGUGGGGAACGUGUUCCCUUUUGCAGGUACCAUAUGAAUAAGGACCGGCUAAUUCCGUGCCAGCAGCCGCGGUAAUACGGAAGGUUCGGGCGUUAUCCGGAUUUAUUGGGUUUAAAGGGAGCGUAGGCCGUUUGGUAAGCGUGUUGUGAAAUGUAGGAGCUCAACUUCUAGAUUGCAGCGCGAACUGGUCGACUUGAGUAUGCAGGAAGUAGGCGGAAUUCAUGGUGUAGCGGUGAAAUGCUUAGAUAUCAUGACGAACUCCGAUUGCGCAGGCAGCUUACUGUAGCAUAACUGACGCUGAUGCUCGAAAGUGCGGGUAUCAAACAGG